Molecule: ribosomal RNA, 253 nt
Filed under: uncultured bacterium
Lineage: Bacteria
Description: partial 16S ribosomal RNA
Rfam family: Bacterial small subunit ribosomal RNA
Source: RNAcentral
UACGUAGGGAGCGAGCGUUAUCCGGAAUUAUUGGGUGUAAAGGGUGCGUAGACGGGUUAUCAAGUUAGUUGUGAAAUCCCUCGGCUCAACUGAGGAACUGCAACUAAAACUAUUAAUCUUGAGUGCAGGAGAGGUAAGUGGAAUUCCUAGUGUAGCGGUGAAAUGCGUAGAUAUUAGGAGGAACACCAGUGGCGAAGGCGACUUACUGGACUGUAACUGACGUUGAGGCACGAAAGUGUGGGGAGCAAACAGG